Molecule: ribosomal RNA, 497 nt
Filed under: uncultured bacterium
Lineage: Bacteria
Description: partial 16S ribosomal RNA
Rfam family: Bacterial small subunit ribosomal RNA
Source: RNAcentral
GAUGAACGCUGGCGGCGUGCCUAAUACAUGCAAGUCGAGCGAACAGAUGAGGAGCUUGCUCCUCUGACGUUAGCGGCGGACGGGUGAGUAACACGUGGAUAACCUACCUAUAAGACGGGGAUAACUUCGGGAAACCGGAGCUAAUACCGGAUAAUAUAUUGAACCGCAUGGUUCAAUAGUGAAAGACGGUUUUGCUGUCACUUAUAGAUGGAUCCGCGCCGCAUGAGCUAGUUGGUAAGGUAACGGCUUACCAAGGCAACGAUGCGUAGCCGACCUGAGAGGGUGAUCGGCGACACUGGAACUGAGACACGGUCCAGACUCCUACGGGAGGCAGCAGUAGGGAAUGUUCCGCAGUGGGCGAAAGCCUGACGGAGCAACGCCGCGUGAGUGAUGAAGGUCUUCGGAUCGUAAAACUCUGUUAUUAGGGAAGAACAAAUGUGUAAGUAACUAUGCACGUCUUGACGGUACCUAAUCAGAAAGCCACGGCUAACUACGUG